This 274-nucleotide ribosomal RNA is filed under the name uncultured bacterium. RNAcentral's name for it is "partial 16S ribosomal RNA". It matches the Rfam family "Bacterial small subunit ribosomal RNA", at positions 523 to 796 of the family's 1533-position model. The record is from RNAcentral.
AUACGGAGGGGGCAAGCGUUAUUCGGAAUUAUUGGGCGUAAAGGGCGCGUAGGCGGAAUAGUAAGUCAGAAGUGAAAAUCAUGGGCUUAACUCAUGACCUGCUUUUGAUACUGCUAUUCUCGAGUGCGAGAGAGGAAAGCGGAAUUCCCGGUGUAGCGGUGAAAUGCGUAGAUAUCGGGAAGAACACCGGUAGCGAAGGCGGCUUUCUGGCUCGCAACUGACGCUGAGGCGCGAAAGCGUGGGGAGCAAACAGGAUUAGAAACCCCAGUAGUCC